Molecule: long non-coding RNA, 1743 nt
Organism: Fundulus heteroclitus (mummichog)
Lineage: Eukaryota; Metazoa; Chordata; Actinopteri; Cyprinodontiformes; Fundulidae
Exons: 3
Source: RefSeq, a predicted model, not a curated record
CUGGCAUGCUUACAUUUUUACAAUUAUAACAGAUUAUACUUCAUUUAGCAGUAAUAAUUGGUGCCAUUCCAUUUUAAAUAGACUUAUUUUACAGACUUUCCACAAAUGCUUGUGUUAAUAUCUGUUUAUCUGCACUUUUGCCCUCUUUGAUCCAGACAAUAAGCUCAAUUUGACCCGACAGGCGAUCACUAAUGGUCCUGCCUGUCCAAGAUGGACGACACUGAGGGAAGAUUGUUGCACUCUGCCCUAAACAUCCAAUAAUAUUUGACCCUGGACACCCCGUCAGACGUCCUUACAGGAGUGGUGUCCCCUGGUGGCCGCCAUCGCUCACACUGCACAGUGGGACCCCGACCCCCACGUUCAGGAUCCCUGCCUUUAUCUCUGCGUCAAUUACCAAACAACAGAAAACGUGUAAAUUGGACCUCAGAUUCAGAUGGUGCGCUUGCAGAACACUAUGGAUGAAUGGAUGGAUAUGGCCAGAGCUGACUGACUGCUCCUUAUGGACUCUGAGGUGGAUUGGAAGAUUGCAGAUGGUGCGUCUGCAACACUCUGUCCAGACCAUGCCCCCAGGGGGAAGGUCUGCAUCUUAGUCAGGUAAAUAAACCCAUCCAACACUCUCCAACCAUGAUGCUUUUAAGUUGUCAAUACACCAUCCAGUCUAAUAACUCACUGGUUGACAGAGAAGAUGUUAGCAAUGCAUGUUAUAAAGGAGAUAAUGGGGACAUUCAGGACAGGUAAAAUCCUUUCCGCCACAACAUUUCAAGCUACAAAUGAGUAACUUUUGUUGCGUUUAGUCUCACAAGUCAUUUUGAUAGUCCUCCAUAACUUCAUAAAAGCUGAAGAGGUAUGACUGAAUACUUCAACAUCACUAAUGAUUGUCAUUAAAAUCAUCACUGGGACACAAAUGUCCCGCAGACGGUAAUUAUCACAGAGCCGGGGUGAAAACAUCUCCCCAGGCCGAUGUGUGAAUGCAUGUGAAAGUGCUCCGUUUGUGCUUUUUAAGCUCUUAAGGACCUUUGCUGCACCGUCCCCUGGACUUAAGGCUGAUUAAAGGCUUUGGCCUCACAGAUGGCAUGCCAAGCGUGUUAAAGUCAAAUGAGUGACAACGGCCGGCAGCGCCCGGGCCUCAUGGGGGAAAAUAAUAAAAAAAAAAAAAGAGGUUGAGGAGAUGAUGUUGGUGUAAUUACUCUAAUGCAGGAACCGUCCACAUGUCACCGUUGUGCAGAGUGACGGAGUUAGGAUUAAAAUGAAGCUGGAAGGGGCGUGGUUUCUGACAACAUGUGGUUGCUGAAAACAUUAACAGAUUUGGCAGCAGGCUGCGGUCACCCAGGUUGAUUUAAACAGAGAUUCUAGCACAGCAUUCAGCUAUGGUGGGAUUCAACUAAAAUUCUAGUUAUUAGAGUUUGCUUUAUGCAGAUUAAAAAUAAUACAAAACAUCAAUCCAUCUAUGUUCUUCUGAUUAUCUGAUUUAGGGUUCUGGAGCUGAACCGUGAAACUUCCCAGUUCAUAUUGGGGAAUCUCAGGCCAGAGGAGCCAAAAACUUUACUCAAGUAGGAGUAGCUCUACUUCAACAUAUUUUUACUCAAGUAAAAAGUAGUCAGCCAAGAAAUUGCUCAAGAGGAUAAAAGUAUUCUGUAAGAAGGUGUUGGGAUUAAUGUUUAUACUUCAUUAACCAAUUUAUCUUGUUAUGAUGUAGUAAUGUAAGCUUCUGAUAUAAUCAUAUUACUCACAUGAUAGCUUAAU